RNAcentral lists this ribosomal RNA (254 nucleotides) under uncultured bacterium. RNAcentral's name for it is "partial 16S ribosomal RNA". It matches the Rfam family "Bacterial small subunit ribosomal RNA", at positions 524 to 776 of the family's 1533-position model. The record is from RNAcentral.
UACGUAGGGGGCGAGCGUUGUCCGAAGUUACUGGGCGUAAAGCGCGCGUAGGCGGGCUAUUAAGUUGGAUGUGAAAUCUCCACGGCUUAACCGGGAAACUGCAUCCAAAACUGGUAGUCUUGAGGUAUGGAGAGGGAAGUGGAAUUCCUGGUGUAGCGGUGAAAUGCGUAGAUAUCAGGAGGAACACCCGUGGCGAAGGCGGCUUCCUGGCCAUAUCCUGACGCUGAGGUGCGAAAGCCAGGGGAGCGAACGGG